RNAcentral lists this ribosomal RNA (279 nucleotides) under uncultured bacterium. RNAcentral's name for it is "partial 16S ribosomal RNA". It matches the Rfam family "Bacterial small subunit ribosomal RNA", at positions 506 to 784 of the family's 1533-position model. The record is from RNAcentral.
GGGCAGCCGCCGCGGUAAUACGAAGGGGGCUAGCGUUGUUCGGAAUAACUGGGCGUAAAGCGCACGUAGGCGGAUUGUUAAGUGAGGGGUGAAAUCCCAGGGCUCAACCCUGGAACUGCCUUUCAUACUGGCAAUCUUGAGUUCGAGAGAGGUGAGUGGAAUUCCGAGUGUAGAGGUGAAAUUCGUAGAUAUUCGGAGGAACACCAGUGGCGAAGGCGGCUCACCGGCUCGAAACUGACGCUGAGGUGCGAAAGCGUGGGGGGCAAACAGGAUUAGAUA